This 482-nucleotide ribosomal RNA is filed under the name uncultured bacterium. RNAcentral describes it as "partial 16S ribosomal RNA". It matches the Rfam family "Bacterial small subunit ribosomal RNA", at positions 30 to 507 of the family's 1533-position model. The record is from RNAcentral.
AUUGAACGCUGGCGGCAUGCUUUACACAUGCAAGUCGAACGGCAGCGCGGGGCAACCUGGCGGCGAGUGGCGCACGGGUGCGUAAUAUAUCGGAACGUACCCAGAAGUGGGGGAUAACGUAGCGAAAGUUACGCUAAUACCGCAUACGAUCUACGGAUGAAAGUAGGGGACCGCAAGGCCUUAUGCUUUUGGAGCGGCCGAUAUCUGAUUAGCUAGUUGGUGAGGUAAAGGCUCACCAAGGCGACGAUCAGUAGCUGGUCUGAGAGGACGACCAGCCACACUGGAACUGAGACACGGUCCAGACUCCUACGGGAGGCAGCAGUGGGGAAUUUUGGACAAUGGGCGCAAGCCUGAUCCAGCAAUGCCGCGUGAGUGAAGAAGGCCUUCGGGUUGUAAAGCUCUUUUGUCAGGGAAGAAACGGUAGAGGCUAAUAUCCUUUGCUAAUGACGGUACCUGAAGAAUAAGCACCGGCUAACUACGUG